GACGAACGCUGGCGGCGUGCCUAAUACAUGCAAGUUGAGCGCUGAAGGUUGGUACUUGUACCGACUGGAUGAGCAGCGAACGGGUGAGUAACGCGUGGGGAAUCUGCCUUUGAGCGGGGGACAACAUUUGGAAACGAAUGCUAAUACCGCAUAAAAACUUUAAACACAAGUUUUAAGUUUGAAAGAUGCAAUUGCAUCACUCAUAGAUGAUCCCGCGUUGUAUUAGCUAGUUGGUGAGGUAAAGGCUCACCAAGGCGAUGAUACAUAGCCGACCUGAGAGGGUGAUCGGCCACAUUGGGACUGAGACACGGCCCAAACUCCUACGGGAGGCAGCAGUAGGGAAUCUUCGGCAAUGGACGAAAGUCUGACCGAGCAACGCCGCGUGAGUGAAGAAGGUUUUCGGAUCGUAAAACUCUGUUGGUAGAGAAGAACGUUGGUGAGAGUGGAAAGCUCAUCAAGUGACGGUAACUACCCAGAAAGGGACGGCUAACUACGUG
RNAcentral lists this ribosomal RNA (497 nucleotides) under uncultured bacterium. RNAcentral's name for it is "partial 16S ribosomal RNA". It matches the Rfam family "Bacterial small subunit ribosomal RNA", at positions 28 to 507 of the family's 1533-position model. The record is from RNAcentral.